AUGCCUCCGAUAGAGAGGGAGAGAGAGAGAGACAGAGCGAGAGAGAGAGGGAUGGGGAUCCUGGCAUGGGUGAGUGGAAGGGAGACAGUGAGAGAAAGAGAGAGGGAGGGGUUGGAUGGUGAACAGAGCCGAGUAAGGUCCCCUCAGUUCAUGAAUCACUCUGGAUCGUCCAUUCCCUUUUGCAUGUCGGAUCAAUGGCUAGAUUUCGAAAGCUAAGUUCCAUUUUUUAUUCCAAUCUUUGCUGUUAGCAUAGAUGUGAACUGUUGGGUUAGGUUUUGGGGGUUCCUUUGUUUCGUUUUCUCUCAUUUUCUCUCAUUUUGGGGAUGCAUCUCUCUGUUCUGUGCAUUGUCUUCUGUUUUAAGUUGCAAGGUAUAGGUGCAUUGAGACCUAAAAAUAUUUGCGUGAACUUCAUAAAUUUUUCUGAGGCUCCGAUCCUUGAAAGGUUUUGGAUUUACUGAUCUUCGAUUCCGCCUCCCCUCUCCUCUACCUGACCCUCC
Molecule: small RNA, 497 nt
Filed under: Malus domestica (apple)
Lineage: Eukaryota; Viridiplantae; Streptophyta; Magnoliopsida; Rosales; Rosaceae
Description: sRNA MD04G0001800
Source: RNAcentral